GUAAGUUUAAAUUCAAAAGAAUUAAUCAUAAACGUGUAUAUCAUAAACAAUAUGUCGUCAUCACAGUUCACUAUCUUUUGCAUCAUUUUGAUUGUUUUAUCUCCUCUUCAAGAAUUUGUCGAUGCAGCUAAAGGAACAUGCGAGCAAAAAAUAUGCCCAAAACUCAAAACCAAAGAUAAGACUUGCUUCUGUUGUCCCUCCACUAAGGGUUGCUCCGGGACCAGACAAAAUUGCGAAGGUUGGUGUAAAUAAAUUAUCUCGAGGAGCUGCAUCAAGGAUUUAAGAAAACCUGAAUAAUCAUUUUAUUUAAUUCUUCCUAAUAUCUACUUUUGUUUUAUGUGAAUAAAGCAUGCUCAUCUAGAGUCCAUCAAAUACAAUGCAUGCCUAUUGUAUUUGUGUCCAGAGACUUUCGUAUUCUAUUCUAUGCAAUGCGCAUCAUUUAAACUUAUUUUGUCUCCUUUUGUUUUAAUUUGCUAUUAAUUUCUUAAAUA
Molecule: long non-coding RNA, 491 nt
Organism: Brassica oleracea var. oleracea
Lineage: Eukaryota; Viridiplantae; Streptophyta; Magnoliopsida; Brassicales; Brassicaceae
Exons: 2
Source: RefSeq, a predicted model, not a curated record